Molecule: ribosomal RNA, 772 nt
Filed under: uncultured bacterium
Lineage: Bacteria
Description: bacterial SSU rRNA
Rfam family: Bacterial small subunit ribosomal RNA
Source: RNAcentral
AGAGUUUGAUCCUGGCUCAGGACGAACGCUGGCGGCGUGCUUAACACAUGCAAGUCGAGCGACAGCCUCUUCGGGGUGUAUGGAGCGGCGAACGGGUGAGUAACACGUGGGCAACCUGCCCUCAGCUCUGGGAUAACUCCGGGAAACCGGGGCUAAUACCGGGAUAUGACCACUCCUGGCAUCUGGGGUGGUGGAAAGUUCUUCGGCUGAGGAUGGGCCCGCGGCCUAUCAGCUUGUUGGUGGGGUUACGGCCCACCAAGGCGACGACGGGUAGCCGGCCUGAGAGGGCGACCGACCACACUGGGACUGAGACACGGCCCAGACUCCUACGGGAGGCAGCAGUGGGGGAAUAUUGCGCAAUGGGCGAAAGCCUGACGCAGCGACGCCGCGUGAGGGAUGAAGGCCUUCGGGUUGUAAACCUCUUUCAGCAGGGACGAAGCGAGAGUGACGGUACCUGCAGAAGAAGCACCGGCCAACUACGUGCCAGCAGCCGCGGUAAUACGUAGGGUGCAAGCGUUGUCCGGAAUUAUUGGGCGUAAAGAGCUCGUAGGCGGUCUGUCGCGUCGGCUGUGAAAACUCGGGGCUCAACCCCGAGCCUGCAGUCGAUACGGGCAGACUAGAGUGCUGUAGGGGAGACUGGAAUUCCUGGUGUAGCGGUGAAAUGCGCAGAUAUCAGGAGGAACACCGGUGGCGAAGGCGGGUCUCUGGGCAGUAACUGACGCUGAGGAGCGAAAGCGUGGGGAGCAAACAGGAUUAGAUACCCUAGUAGUCC